Molecule: long non-coding RNA, 941 nt
Organism: Solanum lycopersicum (tomato)
Lineage: Eukaryota; Viridiplantae; Streptophyta; Magnoliopsida; Solanales; Solanaceae
Source: RefSeq, a predicted model, not a curated record
UCCAAGUCUACAUAAAGGAGGCUAUGUACGAUAGUAUCGUGGGAUGCCCCUGUCCAGAUUCAAUUUAAUCACCUCAAAAUCCACAUUUCUGCUUUGCAAAAGGAAAAGUUAAAUUACAUGCAAAUAAAAAAGAAAAAAAUAAUUUUAAAAUGGUCAAAGAUAAUAUGAGAUUUAUGUUUUGGAGGAAGUGGAUCUGCUGACACUUUCUGUUUGCCUUUUUAUCUGUUACUCCUUUUCUUGACAAAGCAAACGACUAUGUUUUUCAAAUUCAAUUUGUCCUCAUAUAAACAUGCAUACAUUCUUCUAACAUUUAUACACAUAAAACUGCAUCAAACAUUAACAGCAUCAUCAUCUUAUAUAUAUAUAUAUAUAUUUCUUUUUUGGAUUAACCAUAUAUAUAUAUAUAUGGGGAUCUUAUAUUCUAAGCCUAUUGACUCAAUUAAUUUAGAUUUGUGCGAGACAUUACCACUAAAGGGAUAAAACACUCAUCAAAAAAAAUUUAUGCAUAUUUUCCAAGUUUGAAACUGAAAUUUUUAAUAAAAAAUGAAGAAAUGUGAAGUUAGGCGUUUGGGACCUACUUCAAUAGAAAGUAGCAACCUCAAAAAAUCUGAUCAAAAGAUAAGUAAGUUUCCAUUACUAACAAAGGCGAAGAUUGAAACAUGCCUCACGGGCUCUUAGAGAUGAGGCCUUUUGCCAAACCCAAAGUCAAUUUUGGAUAUCGUCUUUUAUCCUACUAUUUCUAUAGGGAUAAAAGUGAAGUUCAAAAUUAGCUUAUAGCAUGAGGCAGGCUUAAGAGCAUCAAACAAAUUAUAAGGUGGGAAAGGAGCAGGUUGUGGGGUCUGCUAUACUAAAAGAGUCCAUGUUAUUUCAUCCCAAGAACAGACUCUUAAAAUUAAAAAAAAGUUGAUCGUUUAGAUUAAUGCUUGACAAAUGAUUUUACA